UCAGGAAGCAGCAGGCGCGCAAAUUACCCACUCCCGGCACGGGGAGGUAGUGACGAAAAAUAACGAUACGGGACUCAUCCGAGGCCCCGUAAUCGGAAUGAGAACACUUUAAACCCUUUAACGAGUAUCCAUUGGAGGGCAAGUCUGGUGCCAGCAGCCGCGGUAAUUCCAGCUCCAAUAGCGUAUAUUAAAGUUGUUGCGGUUAAAAAGCUCGUAGUUGGAUGUGUGUCCCACGCUGUCGGUUCACCGUUCGUCGGUGUUUAACUGGCAUGCCCGUGCGGACGUCCUGCCGGUGGGUGCAGCGAGCCGUCGGCUUCUGGCUGGCGUGUUGGCGGCCCGAUUCAAUCCUACCGCGGUGCUCUUCACCGAGUGUCGAGGUGGGCCGGCACGUUUACUUUGAACAAAUUAGAGUGCUCAAAGCAGGCAGUGGUUCGCCUGAAUAUUGUGUGCAUGGAAUAAUGGAAUAGGACCUCGGUUCUAUUUUGUUGGUUUUCGGAACUUGAGGUAAUGAUUAAUAGGGACAGACGGGGGCAUUCGUAUUGCGACGUUAGAGGUGAAAUUCUUGGAUCGUCGCANGACGAACCUAAGCGAAAGCAUUUGCCAUGAGUGUUUUCAUUAAUCAAGAACGAAAGUUAGAGGUUCGAAGGCGAUCAGAUACCGCCCUAGUUCUAACCAUAAACGAUGCCAGCUAGCGAUCCGCCGAAGUUCCUCCGAUGACUCGGCGGGCAGCUUCCGGGAAACCAAAGCUUUUGGGUUCCGGGGGAAGUAUGGUUGCAAAGCUGAAACUUAAAGGAAUUGACGGAAGGGCACCACCAGGAGUGGAGCCUGCGGCUUAAUUUGACUCAACACGGGAAACCUCACCAGGCCCGGACACCGGAAGGAUUGACAGAUUGAGAGCUCUUUCUUGAUUCGGUGGGUGGUGGUGCAUGGCCGUUCUUAGUUGGUGGAGCGAUUUGUCUGGU
This 962-nucleotide ribosomal RNA is filed under the name Haaniella macroptera. Its description in RNAcentral is "SSU rRNA". It matches the Rfam family "Eukaryotic small subunit ribosomal RNA", at positions 417 to 1319 of the family's 1831-position model. Lineage: Eukaryota; Metazoa; Arthropoda; Insecta; Phasmatodea; Heteropterygidae. The record is from RNAcentral.